Molecule: long non-coding RNA, 5414 nt
Filed under: Marmota monax (woodchuck)
Lineage: Eukaryota; Metazoa; Chordata; Mammalia; Rodentia; Sciuridae
Source: RNAcentral
CUAAGAGUCUUUGCUGGGAUAGAAGAUUUGGGCCAUGAGGUGCCUCAGGGAAGUUCUGGUUACAGAGAAAAUGGUGAGUCCCUCAGAGAAGAAGCAAGACCAAGUCUGGCCCUAUCCUUGGUCAUCUCAAAGCCAUGCUGAAGCAUUCAGUUAUUCUUGGUGUGCAUUGGAGGCCAUCCAGCCAACCCCAUACCAGCAGCCAGUCACCAGAUGUGAACGUGGAAGCAGAAGGCCACCUCCUGUUGGUAGUCCUCUUUCUUCUUUCUCUUCAGAACUGCCACUAUUAAAGACCCAGCUUCUCAUUUUUCAGACAUUUUCUCUGAAACUCUCUGCUGGCCUGCUGAGCCACGUGGAUCCAUUCUGCCAUUGAGGAGUUGUGCAUCGAGGUCCCUCUUCCUAAAGGAUGAGGUGGGGGAGUAGCAGGAGAACAGAGAGAAAGGGGAAACUUCCUUAGUCAUGUUGGUAUCUGCAGGCUCCUAGGAAGCCCUGGGCCUUAGUUUGAUUGCGUACCCUGGGUGGGGGGGAUGCUGGUCAUACCCAGUCAAGAGGUCUGCUACUAGGACGGUCAGCGCCCUAGAUAUUGGCCGUACUCACCACUUCAGUCAGGAAGACAUUUCUGUCCUGGGGGGGGAUCAACUCAGUGAGACCCUUGGAAGAUACAAAAGCCAAGGGGGAUAUUAGAGUUGCUUAGCUUAUUUAGGUAAAGAUUUAGGGGAAAAUCAGUAAUGACAAGUAAGAAUGAGAAUCUUCUCUUGGUUUUCAUUGAGGAUAGAGUAAGAGAAUGAGUUGAAUUGCUACAAAAGAAAUUAGUGUAGAUGCCAGGAAGGACUUCCAAUUCUGAAGAUUGGUCAGUGUCUCCCUUCUAGAUAUCUAGGAAAGAUUUGAUAACAGUUGUUUGUGAGUAGAAAAGGAGGUAUGAUGUUUUUAUUGGCCAUUUUGUGAUACUAUUUGACAUCUCUUGAGGAUACAUUCUGAUUCCAUCCUGGAGAGAUCCAAGUGCUUUUGUACUGUCUUCUUAGCUGCCUUAGUAGUGAACCAUCAUCAGCUCAAUGGACAAAAUCCACCUUCAGCCACGUGGUUUCUUCAUCCAUGGGUAUCUUUCAGUUGACAAAAAGUUAUGACUCUCAGACAUAAAAAGCUACACUGGGAAAUGAACUGUAAGUGAAGUUAGUUUUAGAAUGUAGUUUAAACUACUUUUGCAUUUUUUCUCUUCUUUGUUGCAAUGAAUGUCAAGGGUCUAAGUGCCCGUGCAUAUAGACCUUCCCUGCCUUUGUGCACAGAAUGUGACCAGCCAGCCCAUUAGCACCCAGAAAACCCAAGCCUCUCAGUUUUCCAUCCUGGAAAAUCUUUGUACAGUGGGAAGAUCCCCUAGUGUGCUGUCCUUUUAUAGGUGAGGAGUUGGCUGCAUCACUUUGUUGAAUGUUGCAUUCUUUAGACUCUUAAAAUAUAUUAAGGUAUUCUAGUCUUACUGUAAUGACCUUUGAUUGAUGUCAAAGGAACCCUGCAUUUUCCCCAUAUUUCCCUAUCUCUUAAGACCACAGUUAUUUUAAUGCAGAGACGAUUUUCAAGAUAUUUAACAACUGUUACAGGACAGACACCAACCACUCGGAACAGGUACCUGCUAUGAACAAACACUAUGAUUGCACCAGUGCCUAUUGGCUGAAUGUCACACUGCUUUCAAAUAUUAAAAUGGCAUCCCACUAAAUUGUAGAGUUCCUAGUUUGUCUGAUUUGUAUUCACAAGGCUGUUCUAGGACAGCCUUGGCUUUCUUUCACGUGGUGCAGACAGGAUCAGGCAUGUUUCUUUAAAAUAUAUGGGCAUUAAAAUCUUUGUGAGCCAAAGCUUCACAUUUUAUUACUUUAGGACAAAUCUAAUCAUUGUACCCCCUUUUCCCAUUUCUUACCAACUUUCCCAUAUCACUCUUUGGCUACUUUCUUGCAUUUCUCUUUUCCAUUGUUUUAGUUCCUUGAGAAUGUGCACCUUUUCUUGCUCCAUCUUGCCCACCCCCCACGUUAUCCAGCCACACUUUUGCAUAGGAGGUUGGCAACUUCUGUUUCCCUAGCCUCAGUGCACCCAUUGCACUGGGAAGAACCCAUUGUGGAACAAAACCAGUGACAGUGUCAUCAGAAAAAUGUGUUUCCUAACACACUGAUACCUUGUGUAUGCUAAGUUGCCUGAGGAUAAGGAGACCUGCCUUUGUUAACCCUGUGCAGUGCAGUUUCAGGAUCACAUGUAGGCUUUGAGUUCUCCCCAGUCAGAGUCUCCCAGAUCACUAUACCUUAGGAACAUUAGGCACUUUGGAAGGCUGUGCCCACCCUUUUAGGUCAUUAGAUUUUUCUUCUCAAACAGUAGUCAGCCUCAUUUCUGUUGUACCCAAUGGUAGGAACCACUCCCUACUCUUACUCUCUCCACUCUCCCAGGUCUCACCACUCAGCCCCAGUCCUGGCUGCUUUAAGGGUGCUUGAAAGCUGAGAUAGUAAAAGGGGGAAGAACUUGAAUGAUAUCUUUCUUGGCUUAAGUUUGUGGUUGGUGAUCAUGGUAGCAAUAGUCAUACUGGCAGCAUUUAGGGGCAAGAAACUGGGAGAGGCGGUGAAACAGCAGCAGUGUGUAUGCAUGUGUACAUAGUGACAAACGGGACGGACUGUAGCUGCAGGUUUUCAUCGAUACUCUUAAGCAUUUUGUGCACCUGGCUGUUAGAACAUUGAAAAAAUGCGGUCAUUCUCCCAUCUAGGGAAUUCUCAUCUGAGCUUCUUUGAUAAAAUAGCUUAAGGACAAAUACAGGCAGAUUAAUAUAUGAAGAAAGGUGUUUGAAGUUCAAUAAAGGAGAAACUGAUUUAGAAGUAGAAAGAAAGACAGGUUGUUAGGUGUUUCUCAGGCCCACAGUUGCUUUCAUGAUGAGAGGAAAAUUCAAGAACGGUUGAAAUUGUUGGCACACCCUGACAGGCUAGUGGUGUUGUAGGAAGGGAAGGAGGCCAGGGAUUUAAGAAAAUGAUGGUAAGUGGAAUUUGGUUCUAAGUGGGCAAUUUGCUUUCUAGUCAUGACUCUUAAGGAAGAGUUGGUCUACAGAAAGGGCGAAGACCAGCAGAAAUGUACUGUAAAAUUGCCAAAUAUGUUUGAUUGAUAAAACACAGACUGACUCUUUGUGGCUAGAUAUGAUUUCCAACUUCUGAAAGAUUGUUGAGAGAUAAUGGUCUUUACAACAUGCAGCUCCUCUCCUCAACUCUUGCUCUUAAAAACUUGGGGGGUAGAGGGCAAGUGAACCAUAUUGUUCCAAAAGACAAUGUGAAUAGUCAUUAUUUCUCUUUGUCUGGGUUGUGACUGGCUUGUAAGUUAGUUAUUAGUGUUUGAUAAAAAUCUGGCAUAUGCUAAGAAUUCAGCUUGGUUGCUAGCUCAGGUUAUGAGAGCUGUGACCUUCAAGAGGUCUCUAGUGUUGGGGAAUCUGUGGUUUCUGGUCAUCCAAAAAGGACAGUUUCUAAUUCUACUUUAUUUUCUGCCUACUCAACUCUCCACACUUCCCUCUUAGUAGAGGAAUCAAUAAUCUUCCCUGCAUCUGCUCUGUUGAUUUUGUUAUCCAUGUUCUGUAUCUCAAGUUUUCCUGAAGCAUAGGAACAGGUUUGAUGCCAGAACCCCCUUUUUUAAAAAAUCAGAAUCAGAAACACUACCCACUUUGCUCUCUCUGCCACUUUAUCAAAGUCUCUGAAGUUCUUUUGCAAGAGAGACAGCUCCUCCUCCUAGGACUUUUAAACAAUCAUUUUUGCAAGUUUGUCACUACAUUUUUCCUCACAUUUCUCAGGUUCCUAAGCUACAUCCUAGCAGGCCAACCAGGAACCCUGCAUUGAAUGUUCCCAGCUUUCUUGACUUUUUUCUGGUGGUAGCCUUUGGGCCUCCUUUGAGCAGGCCCUGGCUAGCCAAGAAAGAUGUCAUUCAAGUUCUUCCCCCUUUUACUGUCUCAGCUUUCAAGCACCCUUAACUCUUCCUCCUACCUUUUCCUCAGUAUUUCAAGUUCUCUUGGGAGGGAAGAAGUUCUUGAUCAAAAGUCCCAAAACCACUACCAGUUUGGGGUAGAUAGAGGAAUAAGGAGGUCAAUCAGUGCUGGGCUUCUUGGAAAGGGGACUGUAUGGUUAUGUUCUUAUUUUUGGUGAGGGACUGAGGACUCUCAAGCCCUCAGGCUCAUCCAUAUUUUAGUGUAAAAAGAAAAAAACAUUCCAAAGCCAAGUAGAAGUGAUUUUUCUACUAAAUCUAUUCUUUAUGACUCUUGCUGUCCCUGAUCUCCUAACAUUAAUUAUAGAGAAUGGGUGGUUGACUCAGUUACAUUUUUUUUUUGUCAGAAAGGAAGGUAAUUUUCAUAACCAAAAGAAGUGUGAAGUAACUAUAUCACUGCUUGAAGUGUGAAAAGAGGAAAGGAGUGUUACGUGAACCUUUCCAGUAGAAAAUUCAGGAAGUUGAAUGAUUCAUCCAUAGGCAUAAUUCUUUUAGAAGAUUCUGUGCUCAAAGGGAAUGGAAUGGUUUCUGACCCUUCUGAAGAGAUAAAGAAUAACAUUUUUUCUUAAAUUUAACCCACUUUCAGCAUGGGGAAUACAGAACUUUUUCUUCUAGCUGAUGACAUUAAUAUUUCUUGAGAAGAGGGAGAACCCACCCACGGCACAUUUCUGAGCCCAGCAGAAAUCAGCAAGCUUGGGCUUCUCUUAGCAGGUUUGCGGAUGACUUCAACAUGCAGGUUUUUCACAUGUGCAAUAACGCUGGAAACAGAAACACCAAACUGAAUGUGCAACUACUCCUUUUGUAUAAGAAGCCAAAAUCCUCCUCUUCCCCUUCUCCCAUAUUCAUUCCUCUGGGAUAAUAAGUCUCCCUCUUGUUUCUCUGUGUCUGUCUGUCUGAUUGAUUAGAAACGGCUGCCCUUCCAAGCUAAAUAGGGUCGGGUGGAGAGUAGAGCAACCUUCCCUUGCAAGGGGACAACUUGAGGUGCUGGUACAUUUCUCUUGUUUUCUAUGUUGUUCUUUCUAGUAGGUCCCAUGUAGAGAUAGAGCUAUUUUUGUUUUAGAGAUUCCAAAGUAUAUAUUUUUAGUGUAAGAAAUGUACCCUCUCCACACUCCAUGGUGUAAAUAGAACUGGGAAUAAAUGUGUCAUUGUGAUAAUCCCAUAGCAAUUUGUGGUAGGAACAAGACUCCUUUUCCAAUCUGUGUCUGUGACCUAGGGCAGGUAAUUGUGACACUGCAUCUCCUAGACCUCUGCCUGCCCAGGCUUGUGUAUACUCACCUCAACGGUGAAAAUAAAAUCUGUAGAAACUGUGUACCUGUAGUGUUCUUUGAGCCUGAAUCAAGGGGCUGAGCCACUGUUGAGCAGUUGCAGAACUUGUGAAGAAUUAUGAAGAUGGGUGAAACAAAGGUGUGGUGGUAUUGCUGAGAUGCUUUGAG